UGGGGAAUAUUGGACAAUGGGCGCAAGCCUGAUCCAGCCAUGCCGCGUGAGUGAUGAAGGCCCUAGGGUUGUAAAGCUCUUUUGUGCGGGAAGAUAAUGACGGUACCGCAAGAAUAAGCCCCGGCUAACUACGUGCCAGCAGCCGCGGUAAUACGUAGGGGGCAAGCGUUGUCCGGAUUUACUGGGUGUAAAGGGUGCUCAGGCGGAUUUGUAAGUCAGAGGUGAAAUCUUACAGCUUAACUGUGAAACUGCCUUUGAUACUGCAAGCCUAGAGUAUGGAAGAGAGUGAUGGAAUAUCUGGUGUAGCAGUGAAAUGCGUAGAUAUCAGAUAGAACACCAAUGGCGAAGGCAGUCACUUGGUCCAUUACUGACGCUAAAGCACGAAAGCGUGGGUAGCAAACA
This 402-nucleotide ribosomal RNA is filed under the name uncultured bacterium. RNAcentral's name for it is "bacterial SSU rRNA". It matches the Rfam family "Bacterial small subunit ribosomal RNA", at positions 355 to 774 of the family's 1533-position model. The record is from RNAcentral.